UGGGGAAUAUUGCACAAUGGGCGAAAGCCUGAUGCAGCAACGCCGCGUGAGGGACGACGGCCUUCGGGUUGUAAACCUCUUUUAGCAAGGAAGAAGCGAAAGUGACGGUACUUGCAGAAAAAGCGCCGGCUAACUACGUGCCAGCAGCCGCGGUAAUACGUAGGGCGCAAGCGUUAUCCGGAAUUAUUGGGCGUAAAGAGCUCGUAGGCGGUUUGUCGCGUCUGCUGUGAAAACCCGAGGCUCAACCUCGGGCCUGCAGUGGGUACGGGCAGACUAGAGUGCGGUAGGGGAGAUUGGAACUCCUGGUGUAGCGGUGGAAUGCGCAGAUAUCAGGAAGAACACCGAUGGCGAAGGCAGAUCUCUGGGCCGUAACUGACGCUGAGGAGCGAAAGGGUGGGGAGCAAACAGGCUUAGAUACCCUGGUAGUCCACCCCGUAAACGUUGGGAACUAGUUGUGGGUCCAUUCCACGGAUUCCGUGACGCAGCUAACGCAUUAAGUUCCCCGCCUGGGGAGUACGGCCGCAAGGCUAAACUCAAAUGAAUUGACGGGGUCAUAGCUGUUUCCU
RNAcentral lists this ribosomal RNA (566 nucleotides) under uncultured bacterium. RNAcentral's name for it is "partial 16S ribosomal RNA". It matches the Rfam family "Bacterial small subunit ribosomal RNA", at positions 355 to 1375 of the family's 1533-position model. The record is from RNAcentral.